Molecule: ribosomal RNA, 254 nt
Filed under: uncultured bacterium
Lineage: Bacteria
Description: partial 16S ribosomal RNA
Rfam family: Bacterial small subunit ribosomal RNA
Source: RNAcentral
UACGGGGGGGGCAAGCGUUGUUCGGAAUUACUGGGCGUAAAGGGCGCGUAGGCGGCCUUCUAAGUCGAACGUGAAAUCCCCGGGCUCAACCCGGGAACUGCGUCCGAUACUGGAAGGCUAGAAUCCGGGAGAGGGAUGCGGAAUUCCAGGUGUAGCGGUGAAAUGCGUAGAUAUCCGGAGGAACACCGGUGGCGAAGGCGGCUUCCUGGACCGAUUACUGACGCUGAGGCGCGAAAGCUAGGGGAGCAAACGGG